AGGAUUAACGCUGGCGGCGUGCAUGAAACAUGCAAGUCGAGCGCGGUGCGUGGCUUCGGUCACGCAUCUAGCGGCGCACGGGUGAGUAACACGUGAGCAACCUACCUUCGAGUUCGGGAUAGCCCUGGGAAACCAGGAUUAAUACCGGAUGUGGUCACAACGGGACAUCCCGAUGUGAAAAAAGGCGCAAGCCGCUCGAUGACGGGCUCGCGGCCUAUUAGCUUGUUGGUGGGGUAACGGCCUACCAAGGCGACGAUGGGUAGCUGGUCUGAGAGGACGAUCAGCCACACUGGGACUGAGACACGGCCCAGACUCCUACGGGAGGCAGCAGUUAGGAAUUUUCCGCAAUGGGCGAAAGCCUGACGGAGCAACGCCGCGUGUGUGAUGAAGGCCUUCGGUUGUAAGCACUGUCGGAGGGAAGAAUGAAUGACGGUACCCUCCAAGAAGCCCGGCUAACUACGCGCCAGCAGCCGCGGU
RNAcentral lists this ribosomal RNA (477 nucleotides) under uncultured bacterium. Its description in RNAcentral is "SSU rRNA". It matches the Rfam family "Bacterial small subunit ribosomal RNA", at positions 26 to 521 of the family's 1533-position model. The record is from RNAcentral.